Molecule: long non-coding RNA, 137 nt
Organism: Coffea eugenioides
Lineage: Eukaryota; Viridiplantae; Streptophyta; Magnoliopsida; Gentianales; Rubiaceae
Exons: 3
Source: RefSeq, a predicted model, not a curated record
GUAAACAACCCACUUGAAGGAGUUGGUGAAGAGCACAAUCUCGAUCAAAGUUUGGAAUUCUAGACUCUUCACUUGAGGUUCUGAAUUGCAUGAAGUCUUGGAGAACUAGAAAAGAAAUGUUAUAUUUUGAAUGCCCA